RNAcentral lists this ribosomal RNA (132 nucleotides) under uncultured Oxalobacter sp. RNAcentral's name for it is "partial 16S ribosomal RNA". It matches the Rfam family "Bacterial small subunit ribosomal RNA", at positions 338 to 469 of the family's 1533-position model. Lineage: Bacteria; Pseudomonadati; Pseudomonadota; Betaproteobacteria; Burkholderiales; Oxalobacteraceae. The record is from RNAcentral.
CCUACGGGAGGCAGCAGUGGGGAAUUUUGGACAAUGGGCGCAAGCCUGAUCCAGCAAUGCCGCGUGAGUGAAGAAGGCCUUCGGGUUGUAAAGCUCUUUUGUCAGGGAAGAAACGGUUGAGGUUAAUAUCCU